GAUGAACGCUGGCAGCGUGCCUAAUACAUGCAAGUCGAGCGAACGGACGAGAAGCUUGCUUCUCUGAUGUUAGCGGCGGACGGGUGAGUAACACGUGGAUAACCUACCUAUAAGACUGGGAUAACUUCGGGAAACCGUAGCUAAUACCGGAUAAUAUUUUGAACCGCAUGGUUCAAAAGUGAAAGACGGUCUUGCUGUCACUUAUAGAUGGAUCCGCGCUGCAUUAGCUAGUUGGUAAGGUAACGGCUUACCAAGGCAACGAUGCAUAGCCGACCUGAGAGGGUGAUCGGCCACACUGGAACUGAGACACGGUCCAGACUCCUACGGGAGGCAGCAGUAGGGAAUCUUCCGCAAUGGGCGAAAGCCUGACGGAGCAACGCCGCGUGAGUGAUGAAGGUCUUCGGAUCGUAAAACUCUGUUAUUAGGGAAGAACAUAUGUGUAAGUAACUGUGCACAUCUUGACGAUACCUAAUCAGAAAGCCACGGCUAACUACGUG
RNAcentral lists this ribosomal RNA (497 nucleotides) under uncultured bacterium. RNAcentral describes it as "partial 16S ribosomal RNA". It matches the Rfam family "Bacterial small subunit ribosomal RNA", at positions 28 to 507 of the family's 1533-position model. The record is from RNAcentral.